AAGAAAGGUGGGUUUAAAGUACCCAGUAAAAUGCAAAGCUCUUUAUGAUUUACAGUCUUAUCACAAUAAGGGUAGGUGUUAUCCACGUUCUGCAGAUGAAGUGGGAUCGCAUCCAGGCAAAGUGACUUGCCAAGGUUACACCACGGUUCUGAAGACUAGAAGUACAAAAUCGGUCUCACUGGGCGAAAAUCAAGGUG
Molecule: long non-coding RNA, 197 nt
Organism: Eubalaena glacialis (North Atlantic right whale)
Lineage: Eukaryota; Metazoa; Chordata; Mammalia; Artiodactyla; Balaenidae
Exons: 3
Source: RefSeq, a predicted model, not a curated record